AAGAGCCAGAGGCACUGGGCCCAGAAUCCUACCGUGGAUGGAGACUCCCGUGAACCGGCAGAAUACCUGGACCGAAAGGUGAGGCAGCGGAGUUUGGAGAGAUACAGGUCGAAUCUGAAAGGCACCAGGGAAGCCAGAGGUCUGGUCAGUCCCUAGUUGAAAGGACUCCCUUCAUGGCUCACCUCACCUUCCACCCCCCGCUCUGGUAAUGGUCUCGCCCGAUUCCCGUUCUCUUCUACCACUCCAGGACGUACCAAGUUUCCAGAAGAGGGAUGGGGGGCAGUGGGCCUGGGGGCGGAAAGGACCAUUCGGCGAGCGAGACCAUUGACACGGAGGUCAGAAGAAAAUGGGGGGAAGGGCGAAAGGGGGCCCACACGGUUGGAAGAGGAGCGGAGAGGCCUUCGGGAGACCCUUGUUGGAAGGGCGCGGGGCCUGGAAGACCUUUAUCGGGAAAAGAAGGCGGGGCCUCUGGAUGGGCGGGUUCAUUGGUGGGGAGGUAGGAGGUUGGGGUGGGCGAGUUCAUUGCGUGUCCGACUGAGGGGGACGGAGUUGGUUGGGAGAGACCAUUGUUAGUCUGGGGAGAUUUGGGCAGUUCUUGAGGAGCAACCUCUUCAUGUAUGAAUGGGGAGGGUCCGGGUGAGUGUGUGCGCGGGUAACAGGUUUGAAUUGUGCCUUGAAGCAGGAGCUGGACUGUGACAGAGGCUCUGAGAUCCGGGCGAACAACAGGUGCAAACGCCCCACAGUGGAAGAGUUAAGGAUCUAUUUGCAGAAGAGGGGGCUGCGCCGGAAUCCCCCUUUGCCUCCUCACCACCGGGAGCUGACUGACAGCAGCCUCACCUCACCCUCUCUUUGGCAUCUGGAGCCCAAGGACUGAGUCAGGGACAGACCUCACCUCAUGAAGGCAGGAGACGGAGAAGCGGGUCCUGGAGACCCCCCAGACUGUCUGGGGUUCGAUCCAGGUCAGCUGAGGAUACACCCUGAAGAGCCUGAGGUCCCAGAAGAAGAGGUGAGCUCCCUGAUCCCCACCUCACCCCAGUAGGAGCAGAGAUUCAGGCAGCUGUGAGUGAGUGUGAGUCCCAGAUCUAUCACUUCCUGGCUUUGUGACUUGGCCCAUGGACACACUGCUGUGUAUUCACUUAAAUUUUGGUGAACUCCGAAUAAAGAUCAGUACCCGCG
Molecule: long non-coding RNA, 1176 nt
Filed under: Sus scrofa (pig)
Lineage: Eukaryota; Metazoa; Chordata; Mammalia; Artiodactyla; Suidae
Description: lncRNA (ENSSSCG00005013997.1)
Source: RNAcentral